Molecule: ribosomal RNA, 119 nt
Filed under: Paenibacillus sp. XY044
Lineage: Bacteria; Bacillati; Bacillota; Bacilli; Caryophanales; Paenibacillaceae
Description: partial 23S ribosomal RNA
Rfam family: Bacterial large subunit ribosomal RNA
Source: RNAcentral
AAGAUGAGAUUUCCCAGUAUGUAAGACCCCUUGUAGACGACGAGGUAGAUAGGUUGGAGGUGGAAGUGCAGCAAUGCAUGGAGCUGACCAAUACUAAUCGGUCGAGGGCUUAUCCAAAA